UUCUCAGAUCAGGCGAGGCUACCCGCUGAACUUAAGCAUAUCACUAAGCGGAGGAAAAGAAACUAACCAGGAUUCCCCUAGUAACGGCGAGUGAACCGGGAAGAGCUCAAGCUGAGAAUCUUCGGAAUUGUAGUCUAUAGGUGCGAACUCGUGCGGGGCCGGGUAUAAAUCCGUUCCUGGAACUGGGUGCCAGAGAGGGUUAGAGCCCCGUCUUUGACUCGGUCUCCCGCGCGUGGCGAGUUCUCUCCAGAGAGUCGGCUUGCUUGGGAAUGCAGGUCUAAUUGGGUGGUAAACUUCAUCUAAAGCUAAAUAUUGGCGAGAGACCGAUAGCGAACAAGUACUGUGAAGGAAAGAUGGAAAGAACUUUGAAAAGAGAGUGAAAAAGGGCUUGAAGUUGUUAAGGGGAGAAGUGGUUGGAGCAUAUCAUACGCGUGUGGGUCCCAGGGCCGGGACUUGUCCUGGCUUGUACCAUCCGCACGUGUUGGUCAGCAUCGGUUUUUGCUGGGGGAGAAUGCGGGCGUUGUUGAUCCUCUCGGGGAGAUCGGCGCCUGUGAAACCCGGGCGGAGACCGAGGCACCAAGGGCGCGCUUAGCGGCCGGCCUCCUGUGCGCGUAUUCGCUUGUGGUACACCCUCCGGGCGUGUGCUGCUUUCGGGUGCGUGACGCGGGGGAGCGCUGGACCUGCGCCCUGAAGAUGCUGGCACAAAUGGCUUCAACCAGCCCGUCUGGAAACACGGACCAAGGAGUCUAACACAUAUGCGAGUAGUAAGGUGGCAAACCUUGGAUGCGCAAUGAAAGUAACGUGGGUGGGAUCCGCAAGGUGCACCAUCGACCGACCAGGAUCUUCUGUGAAAGGUUUGAGUAAGAGCAUAUUUGUUGGGACCCGAAAGAUGGUGAACUAUGCCUGAAUAGGGUGAAGCCGGAGGAAACUCCGGUGGAGGCUCGUAGCGGUACUGACGUGCAAAUCGUUCGUCAAAUUUGGGUAUAGGGGCGAAAGACUAAUCGAACUAUCUAGUAGCUGGUUCCCUCCGAAGUUUCCCUCAGGAUAGCUGGAGCUCACGCGCGAGUUUUAUCGGGUAAAGCAAAUGAUUAGAGGCAUCGGGGGCGUAACGCCCUCGACCUAUUCUCAAACUUUAAAUAGGUAAGAGGUCCUUGCCACUUGAUUGGGCAUGGGCAUUGAAUUGGAGCUCCAAGUGGGCCAUUUUUGGUAAGCAGAACUGGCGAUGCGGGAUGAACCGAAAGUUUUGUUAAGGUGUUUAACUGUCGGCUCAUGUAGACCCCACAAAGGGUGUUGGUUCAUAUAAACAGCAGGACGGUGGCCAUGGAAGUCGGAAUCCGCUAAGGAGUGUGUAACAACUCACCUGCCGAAUGGACUAGCCCCGAAAAUGGAUAACGCUCAAGCCGACGACCUAUACAAGACCGUUGGCCCAAAUGCGAUGGGCCAGCGAGUAGGAGGGCGUGGGGAUCGUGAAGCAGCUUUGGACGUGAGUCUGAGUGAAACGGU
RNAcentral lists this ribosomal RNA (1503 nucleotides) under uncultured eukaryote. Its description in RNAcentral is "partial Eukaryotic large subunit ribosomal RNA". It matches the Rfam family "Eukaryotic large subunit ribosomal RNA", at positions 1 to 1436 of the family's 3401-position model. The record is from RNAcentral.